GUCCACGCCCUAAACGAUGUUUACUUGCUGUUGGGGGCAACCUUAGUAGAGAAGCUAACGCGAGAAGUAAACCGCCUGGGGAGUACGGUCGCAAGAUUAAAACUCAAAGGAAUUGACGGGGACCCGCACAAGCGGUGGAUGAUGUGGAUUAAUUCGAUGCAACGCGAAAAACCUUACCUGCUCUUGACAUGCUAGGAAGAUCUGAGAGAUUAGAUUGUGCCUUCGGGAACCUAGACACAGGUGCUGCAUGGCUGUCGU
Molecule: ribosomal RNA, 258 nt
Filed under: uncultured bacterium
Lineage: Bacteria
Description: partial 16S ribosomal RNA
Rfam family: Bacterial small subunit ribosomal RNA
Source: RNAcentral